RNAcentral lists this ribosomal RNA (413 nucleotides) under uncultured bacterium. Its description in RNAcentral is "bacterial SSU rRNA". It matches the Rfam family "Bacterial small subunit ribosomal RNA", at positions 111 to 520 of the family's 1533-position model. The record is from RNAcentral.
UAAUAUAUCGGAACGUACCCAAGAGUGGGGGAUAACGUAGCGAAAGUUACGCUAAUACCGCAUACGAUCUAAGGAUGAAAGCAGGGGACCGCAAGGCCUUGUGCUCCUGGAGCGGCCGAUAUCUGAUUAGCUAGUUGGUGAGGUAAAGGCUCACCAAGGCGACGAUCAGUAGCUGGUCUGAGAGGACGACCAGCCACACUGGAACUGAGACACGGUCCAGACUCCUACGGGAGGCAGCAGUGGGGAAUUUUGGACAAUGGGCGAAAGCCUGAUCCAGCAAUGCCGCGUGAGUGAAGAAGGCCUUCGGGUUGUAAAGCUCUUUUGUCAGGGAAGAAACGGCUGAGGUUAAUACCUUUGGCUAAUGACGGUACCUGAAGAAUAAGCACCGGCUAACUACGUGCCAGCCGCCGCGG